Molecule: long non-coding RNA, 3741 nt
Filed under: Mus musculus (house mouse)
Lineage: Eukaryota; Metazoa; Chordata; Mammalia; Rodentia; Muridae
Description: Mir9-3 host gene (Mir9-3hg)
Source: RNAcentral
GAGCCGGGAGAAGCGGCGCGCCGCCAGGAACCCCCGCGCCACCGCCGCCGCGCCUGCCUCCAGCAGCUCUCGGCCACGCGACCGUGCGGUCAGCGGCGCUUGGAGGGCGGCCGGAGCUGGGCCUGAGCCUGGAGACUCGCCUGAUCCCGGGCGGCCGAACCACCAUCACCACAACCGCCCCACCCCCGCCGUCGCCUCGUGGGGCCCCGGCCCCCUCCCGGGUCCGAUGCACUCCAGGGUGGGCCAGGAGAAAAGAGAAAAGACAGCUUGGUGAUGACUAAGAAGCAAGAAACUGGAGCCUAAGCUAGUACUGAGAGGAAAGCUACCUCUGCAGCGCUCCACUUUGCCCCAGCUUCAGGAUAUGUUGUCUUGGGAUACAGGACAAUGCAGAUGACUUUCGAAGCCCAGAUACAAUGCCUUCUCUCCUCAGACAUGGUGGGAUGUACUCUGAUCUAGAGCAGGCAGCUGGCCAGAGGCCCACAGGGAGCUCAGUGAUUGGCCUCAGAUGACCUUGGGGACAAAGAUUGUCCUGUGAAGGGAAGUGAUGGCACAGGCUCUGAUCAGCUCUUCUGGGAACAGACAGAGAAGUGAGAAUUCCUGCCAAAGCCACAGGAUGAACACAGAGCCAAGAACCUGAACCAGAAAAAUCCAGCAGGAAAGGAACCUGCACUAGCCACCAUCCUGAGGCUGCUGUACAGGGAGCAAUCCUACCGCAGGGACUUGGCAGGAGACCAGGGGCCUGCUCCCCAGUCCUCCUCGAGGGCCUCUGUCACCGACCUGCUUGUCUAGGAUCUCCUUUCUUUCUGCUUGUGCCACAUCUUUCAGGCCUGUUCUGGGUCUGAUGUGCUAUAGAACACUCUGUUCAGGCACUUGGGAAAUAGAGACUUCAUCACCAGCAUUUCCACCCCCAAAGAACUAGGCAGCACACUGGGAAGUUGCCAAAGGAAGGGACUCCAGCCUCCCAGGAGUUAACAACAUUUCUCCCCAGCUAUCCUCCCCUUGGUGCUCCUCUUCCUCCCUCCUCCUGCUCACAGCAGGCAGGGCCUGGAACCAGGAGCCAUGCUGCUGUGCUGUUGCCAGGGGAGCUGGGAGGCAGAUCGGAGCUAUGCAGGGAAAAGGCUCGGCCUGUCAGAGUGUCUGAGAUGAACCACCGCCAUCCCUGUGCAGCUGGGCUCCAUGUGUCUCAGGGCUCUUGUUCUGUGCCUGAGAACGGUGAAGCCCAGCGAGGUUCAAGGGCACACUCGCUAUUCAUCAGUCGGGGGUUCUUGACGGUCCUGCCUCUCCCAGGGAUGGGUUCCCCCCUUCCUCUUUCUCUCCCUCCUAUGAUACAUUCCUGGGUGCCUGUGGUGAGGACUGCACACCCCCUUCUCCACAGCCCCCCCAAACCCUGAAUCAACUCCUAUUAAGGAGGCCAGGCGAGACAGGGACAAUGGCUUCAAGAAAUCAUUCAGGCGGGACCUCAGUCACAUUCGCAUGCCCGUCACUCCCAGAGCCCCUGUAGAUCCCACUCUGCUGUGAUUCAGGGACCCUUGGGCCCCCAGCUUGCACAUGCCUAGACAGGAGCAGGCCACUAGGUGCUGCCCUACACAACAGGCCAGUGCAGUGUUUGUUCUCAGGGACCCUGGGGCCUCCAUCCCACUGGCUGGAUAGUGUGUGCAGUCAGUUGGAGAGCAGAAACUACAAUAUUUUCUGAAAUGUGGUAAUAUCAAGAUAUAAGAGGCACAUAUACGUGAUGACUAAUUUCACUUCAGAUAUACUGGAAAAGUUUGCUAAGAACAUGGACAAAGACCUGUGGUUGAGUAACGAGUCAUUUCAUUCCAUGGAAUAUUACACACCUGUAAGACUGUGGUAGAUCUACCUCUGCAUGCAGGCUGAUAGGGAAGGUUGCUAAUAUACUUAAGUGAAUAGAAUAAAGUACAAAACAGUCAAGUGUGUUCUUGUUUGUAUAUACUUAAAGGUCAGUUACGGUGGCAGGGGUGUGUGAAGCUCAGUGGUAAAAUGCACACAGCAUACAGGAGGCCUAGAGCCAAAAAACCCUGUAUCAACCAUAAGUAUGUCUGCAUGAAUGGUUGGCAAGCAAGCCCUGCCCAGCAGCCUCCAGGAAGCAGGAGGCCUUUCCUCCUGUGUCUUUGUGUUUGUUUUCUCUCUGCGUUUGUGAAGCACUUUUAUUGAAAAAAAGAAAGGAUAGUAAUCACUUAAUAGGUGUAACUUCUCUCAGCCAACGAAGGGCAUGCACUCCAAGACAAGGUGGUGAUGUGGCUGAGAAGUGUCUUGACAGUACUGGUGGCCUCUGGCCACUGGCGGUUCUCCAACCACAUGUCAUCAUCAUGACUGCCACUGUUAAUCGAAAGCCCACUUAGUCCCAGGGUUAGUUCUCUGGUUCCUGCUUAGGUGAGUGUCCUAGUAUUUCAGUCUAGCCAAUGCAGGAGACUGAAUGGGGAAAUCAGUGGGUUUCUCCAAGCUGUUUGGGUCAAGUCAGUAUCCUAGAGUGGGUAAGGCAAGUGUGGGCUCUGAUUUCCCUCUGGGAGGACCUGUUUUGAGGAGGGGGCUUGUGGGCUGUGUUGAUUAUGAGUGAGCACUCCUACUUGCUUUAGCCCAGUGGAGGUGCCCUGCUGGGGACAGGCUGGCUUCAGGAGUUGACUGUCUCUGAACCACUCCAUCUGCAUACACACAGCAAGUAUUCAGAGACACCACCGGACUUUGCUGCUCCCAGUGUUAAUCAAAAGCCUGGCCUUGCCCUCAAAGGAGUAAAUUGCUGAGGGCAUCUGGAAAGCGCAAUGUGGAGCUGAGCACUGAGUCUUGGAGCCAACAUCCUGUGGAGCUCUGUCUGCGUUGGGCCCUGAUGCCUGGGAGUGGGCAAGGAAAGAUCGCAGUAGAGUUGACCAGAAGAACCUGGGAGACCCAUGGAGGUCCCUGGGCUUAGAUGGCAGCUUUGAAAGUCAGGAGGAAAGCAACUAGGGGUGGGGCUGUCACCAGGUCUCUUACUUUGGUGCAGUGAGUCUUAGUUUUAUAAGGUGCUGGUACACUCAUUUUACAGGUGACAUUUAAGUUCAGAAAUGUUGCUACAUGUCCCAGGUCACAGUUAAAAACUGCCAGAACUGAGAUUUAACACCUACCCCAUUGGUUGCGGUCUGAAUUCAUAACCCCAAAUUUAUUCUUUUUGGCUGAGCCACUUAAGAGAGGUCUCCUGAGCUCCAAGCCUUCCUAGCCAGUUCCAUACAUAGAGACAUAGAGACUUCUGCCUUCAAGGUUCCCCCAGUAUCUUGCCUGGGGUCUUCCCUAAUUCCACCUAAUUUUAUCUGUGAGGUAUACUAAGCUUUGGAACCUGGACCUAGAGCUGGAGAAGAAAUCCAAAGCCAUAUACAGACUGGGGCCCUUCAGUUAGUGUUGCUAUUAGCACUAAUGCUAUUUGCUUCCUGAGUCCGGUCAUCUGCAUUGUGCAGAUGCGCUCUCUUUCUUCAGGUCCUUGACCCUAAAGCCUGAUGGGAGGUCAAGGAUGCUCCAGGGCCUACCCCUUGCUUCUCAGAGCUGGAUCUGCUGAGGGCUGCAGCAAGCCUAAGACUGGAGGAUCAGGCAUGGGAGAGCAAAAGGAAUAACCAGGCUUAGAAAUCAUUGGAACUCUUACUUCAGGACAACCCUGAGGGAUGAUUAAGCCAAAUUCUGAGAGAGAAGCACUCUUCUGACCCUGGGAAACCUCUGCCUCUUUUACCCCAGCUCACAACUAAUAAAAGUUCGAAAAAC